CAAAAAUGCAGAUAGCUCAAGAUGCACAGAACACUUGGAGGAUGCUCUAGCCAAAAGUUAAAUAGUUCUUAGUGACUCAGUCUCAAUAAGAAACCAGUCACAGCUCUUUAUAGAACAGAGCUAUAAGCUUCUAGAGCAUUUAAAUAAUGGAACUUUACAUUUGAAUAUUAUAAAGUGCACAUACAAUUGAACAAGCUGGAAAAAAAUCAAGCGAGGGCAGGGAUAUAGGAGGUGAAUUUAUGAAGGCUAGGAGGGGUUGGGUAUAACAUUAUUCUCUUCAAAAUAAGGGUCAUUCCCAGUGGCGUACAUGUUUCCGCCCCUUGCAUUGGGUAAGACCUAUGAAGGCCCAGCACUGGUGUGUCAUUCCAGACAUGUGGAAACUAUAAUGUUGGGCACGCAUUGGCCUUUCCCAUAAAGAAUCUAAGUACAGGUCUUUCUGGAAGCCUUCAUAGUCUGUGCUUGAAAAUGGUUACUCUUUCCUAGUUACCCUUGUGAUACAACUAUUGACCCUGUUUAAAGAAACAGUUGAAGGUCUUCUCCAAACAUAACAGAGUGUCUCGCACGUGGCUGCUGAACUGACAUUCUAACCACCCCAUCCCCCCAAAAAAGCCUCUAAAGCAAUCCCCUUACCUUUUAUAUAAAAAGCUGUGUUCCAGACUGACGCCUUGUAAUUUUAGAAUGUCCAUUUCUAGUUCAUGAGAGAGAGAAAAAGAAAAUAGAAUAACUCCCUAGUUUGACACAUGUUUAUCAAAAACAAAACUGUCAGAACUUUAAAAUAGAUGCAGAAUGCAGUCGCUUUCCCUUCCUGGACCAAUUUACUUCAUCUAAAUGCAGACCAUCCCUAAGGCCAGAGGUUAAUAUCUUCACAUGUUUAUCACCCACAUACACAAGAGAGAACCCCCAACAGUCCAGAGCAGCAGGGCAGUCGGUCAUACACUCAAACCUACUAUCUCUUUCUAAAUAUUUUCAAAGCAACGUUUGACUUAAAAUAAUUUGUAUUUCUCUGGUAACUUUCAGAAGUCACUUUCCUAGUGUACAGAAAAGCUUUUCACCUGAUUUCCAAUUAAGUCAGACUUUGGAAAAAAUCAUAGAUGUUUUGUAUGCUACUCCACUGCAUUCGAAAACACAUGCUAGCCCAUGCGUCAGUGUAACUUGCUAUUGAAAUACCUGCUUCCAAAAUGUCCUGAUUCUGAAAAGAAAUGCCUGAGUAUUUCCAGGUCAGUGAGAUCAGACGGAAGCGCACACACUAAGACUGUAUCUGGGCUCUCCAUUGCCUCUCUUGGGUAACGUUCCCUUGCUGGAUUUCUGCUGCACUCUCUGAAGGACUUCUCCUGCUCUCAGUAGAGAGCCUCUGUACAUUGUAUGCUCUGAUUUUUUGUUGGUUGGAGAGCAACAGCAAAACUCUACAAGAUGUUGCGAACACAGAUACAUGGGCCAAGGGAUCUCAGUGUGUGCUGAACGUGUGUUCUCAGAUGCAAGAAAGGAAGGUUAGGGAGGAGGAGACAUGCUGUUUUUUUAAUUACUGUAGGGUAAACCUGACAAUUCAGAACUUUGUGAAUUGUCAGCUUGUUUGGGGGGGUGGGGGGCUGGGGGGGUGGGUCUGGGGUGUACUUUUUAUAAGUAAUAUUUAAUUUAUUAUUUAGAGUGGCUUCUUUUUUGGAUAAUUUAUGAUACAAAGGGAGACCUGGUUGGGAAUCUAGAUAUGGCUGUUAAAGCUGCAGUGUUCCAUAGCUUAGAGGCACCACUUUGGACAUGAAUUGUCCACUGCUGAGUAUGAGGGUAUGCCCAGGCAAAGCCCCCACUGAAUUUCCAUCAUCACCGCCUUCUCCCUUGCCAGGGUCAUUCAAACUUGAGUACCACCAAACCUACAAUAUUCCGAUGGCAUUUUUCAGAUCAAAUGCUACUCAUUCUCUCCAAGGGCUUUGCGAUUCAAAUUGUUAGUGUGUUAGUGGUAGGUUUAUUUGGUAGAAGUGGGUAUACUACAGCUUUAACUAGCCUUAGUGGAAAAAAGAAAGUUUUUGUUGCUACAAAAUGCCUUUUAAUUUCAAAAAAAGAAAAAAAAAGGUAUUUUGAGCCCACAAAGAGUUUCUUUAAAUUGUCAGACUCUAGCAUUGUUAACCAAAUUAGACUAGUGAUCGCAAUAUUUAAGUGUAAAUCUUGUUCUAUGAGAAAGGAAACUUGCUUACAGUUUAAAACAAUGACUGUUUCUACACAAAUCUUGUAUACUACUACACGAGGAAAAAGGGGUUUUGUAAUCACUGUAGAACAGUCUCAUAUUCAUUUUUUAUAGAAAUGUUAUUCCAAUGGUGCAUUUUUUUGUUUAAUAAAUAAAGUUUUGAUACAAAGUUC
Molecule: long non-coding RNA, 2349 nt
Organism: Bos taurus (domestic cattle)
Lineage: Eukaryota; Metazoa; Chordata; Mammalia; Artiodactyla; Bovidae
Source: Ensembl